GAUCCUGGCUCAGGAUGAACGCUAGCUACAGGCUUAACACAUGCAAGUCGAGGGGCAGCGGGAUUGAAGCUUGCUUCAAUUGCCGGCGACCGGCGCACGGGUGAGUAACGCGUAUCCAACCUUCCGUACACUCAGGGAUAGCCUUUCGAAAGAAAGAUUAAUACCUGAUGGUAUGAUGAGAUUGCACCUGAUAGCAUCAUUAAAGAUUUAUCGGUGUACGAUGGGG
This 226-nucleotide ribosomal RNA is filed under the name uncultured bacterium. RNAcentral's name for it is "partial 16S ribosomal RNA". It matches the Rfam family "Bacterial small subunit ribosomal RNA", at positions 15 to 230 of the family's 1533-position model. The record is from RNAcentral.